This is a small nuclear RNA of Phyllostomus hastatus (greater spear-nosed bat), 163 nucleotides long. RefSeq annotates it as U1 spliceosomal RNA. Lineage: Eukaryota; Metazoa; Chordata; Mammalia; Chiroptera; Phyllostomidae. The transcript has a single exon. The record is from RefSeq and is a predicted model, not a curated record.
GUACUUACCCCGCAGGGGAGAUACCAAGAUUGUGAAGGUGGUUUUCCCAGAGCAAGGCACGCCCAUUGCACUCCAGGUGUGCCGACACCGGCAAUUUCCCCAAAUGUGGGACACUUGCCUGCAUGAUUUGUGGUAGAGAGGGACUGCAUUCUCCAUGACCUGC